AGAGUUUGAUCAUGGCUCAGGACGAACGCUGGCGGCGUGCCUAACACAUGCAAGUCGUACGGGCUUGGGGGGCAACUCUCAAGUCAGUGGCGAACGGGUGCGUAACACGUGAGCAACUUACCCUACGGUGGGGGAUAGCCGGCCCAACGGCCGGGUAAUACCGCAUAUGGCAUCGAGGUCACAUGGCCUUGAUGGGAAAGCGGCCGCAAGGUCGCGCCAGAGGAGGGGCUCGCGGCGUAUCAGCUAGUUGGCGGGGUAACGGCCCACCAAGGCUACGACGCGUAGCUGGUCUGAGAGGAUGGCCAGCCACAUUGGGACUGAGAUACGGCCCAGACUCCUACGGGAGGCAGCAGUGGGGAAUAUUGCGCAAUGGCCGAAAGGCUGACGCAGCGACGCCGCGUGUGGGAUGAAGGCCUUCGGGUUGUAAACCACUGUCGGGGGGGGCGAAUACUCGGCUUCGAAUAGGAGACCGAGGGUGACGGUACCCCCAAAGGAAGCACCGGCUAACUCCGUGCCAGCAGCCGCGGUAAUACGGAGGGUGCGAGCGUUGUCCGGAAUCACUGGGCGUAAAGGGCGCGUAGGCGGCCGUGUAAGUCACUUGUGAAAUCCCGGGGCUCAACUCCGGGGCUGCAGGUGAGACUGCGUGGCUAGAGCACGGUAGAGGCGAGUGGAAUUCCCGGUGUAGCGGUGGAAUGCGUAGAUAUCGGGAAGAACACCGGUGGCGAAAGGCGGCUCGCUGGGCCGUUGCUGACGCUGAGGCGCGAAAGCGUGGGGAGCAAACAGGAUUAGAUACCCUGGUAGUCUACGCCGUAAACGAUGGGUACUAGGCGUCGGGGGGAGCGACCCCCUCGGUGCCGUCGCUAACGCAGUAAGUACCCCGCCUGGGGGAGUACGGUCGCAAGACUGAAACUCAAAGGAAUU
This 921-nucleotide ribosomal RNA is filed under the name uncultured bacterium. Its description in RNAcentral is "bacterial SSU rRNA". It matches the Rfam family "Bacterial small subunit ribosomal RNA", at positions 8 to 911 of the family's 1533-position model. The record is from RNAcentral.